Long non-coding RNA from Populus nigra (black poplar), 4077 nucleotides. RefSeq lists it as uncharacterized. Lineage: Eukaryota; Viridiplantae; Streptophyta; Magnoliopsida; Malpighiales; Salicaceae. The record is from RefSeq and is a predicted model, not a curated record. The transcript is spliced from 7 exons.
UCGAGACUUGAGUAGCCUUCUGGGCCACGAAAAGCCACCAGACAAAACAACACAUGCAAUGUUUUUUAUUUGUCUAUAAACCGUUGACGAUUGGCCAUCGUUUGAAGAUCACUGCUUCCCUAACUCCUGAGUUUCUUCUACGCUCCACUAAACUCCUUUCCUAGCUGUGCGUGCCACAUUCUCUUCUCCCUUCAUCACUGCUUCUCUAACUCCUGAGUUCUGAUUAAGUCAGAUCAUCGUUUGAAGAUCUUGUUGGGCCAGGACAGGAGGUCUCCUGGUUGUCGACCAGCUUGGCACUGGUUCCUUCUUCUGUGUGCUAAUCAAAAUCCUUGAAGACAAUAUAAUGGACCAACUUAUGGAAUGCUUUUUAGUUGGAGCACACAUGGGAAACUAGCAUGUCUAUACUGCAUGGAAAACAACAAGGCAUUCACGCUAACAAACGGAGUUGAAAAGGAUGUUGCAUCCCCGCGUCUUUCUAGUGAAGAAUUGCAUGAUGUUGUAUCAGAGUAUGGUGACAUUGUGUUUGGUCUUCAAUCAGGUAAGCAAAAGUUUCCUGGUUUUGGUUUGACCUAUAAUUGGGUAAAACAAAGUAUCUUUUAGGAGCUUCCUUAUUGGAAGACCAAUCUGCUCGACCAUAACCUUGACAUCAUGCACGUUGAAAAGAACUUGUUUGAGAAUAUUUUCAACACCGUCAUGGAUGUGAAGGGGAAGACAAAAGACAACAUCAAGGCUAGAUUGGACAUAGCUUUGUUAUGUAACCGUAAAAAUGCAGAAUUGGUUUGUGAUGAGUCAUGGGUAGCAAAACCAAGAGCAAGCUUCGUGUUAGAGAAAAAUGCACAACUACUAGUUUACAAAUGGCUUAAGAGUCUGCGUUUUCCGGAUGGACAUGCCUCAAACAUAUCAAGGCUGGUUAAUGUGGAGGAAUGCAGAUUGUAUGGAAUGAAGAGUCAUGACUGCCACGUGUUUAUGCAAACACUCAUCCCAUUAGCUUUUCGUGAUUUGUUGCCUAAGGAGAUAUGGGAUGCACUCACGAAGAUCAGUCAUUUCUUUAGAGAUAUAUGUUCCACCAAGUUGAAUGUUGAUCACAUUGAGAGGCUUGAAAUGAAUAUCAUCGAGACACUAUGCAAACUUGAGAUGAUAUUCCCUCCAUCAUUUUUUAACUCAAUAGAGCAUCUCCCCAUACAUCUACCAUUCGAGGCAAAAGUUGGAGGACCGGUCCAGUAUAGAUGGAUGUACCCAUUCAAACGGUUAGAUAUUACAGUUGCAAUGUAAUUCAUAUAUAAAAGUAUUUUCUUUGUUUUUCUUAAUUGAAAAUAUUUGAUUAAUUCAAUGCACAUACUUUUUCAAUCUCAAGAAAAAGGUUAAGAACAAGGCGCAUGUUGAGGCCUCGAUAUGUGAGGCCUAUAUUGUUGAGGAGAUCUCAACAUUUAUCUCGUAUUAUUUCAAACCUCAUCUGAGAUCGAAAAUCUAUCGUAUUCCACGACAUGAUGAUGGUGGUGAAGUGUCUUCCAAUGAAAACUUGUCAAUAUUCUCCAAUCCUGGAUGACCCAUACCUAAAAAUAUUGUAAGAGGAAGAUAUUUGUCAGAAAUAGAGUUUAAACAAGCACACAAUUAUGUUCUAUUUAACUGUGAUGAGCCGAGACCUUUUAUUUAGCAAUAUCGACAAUAUUUGUUAUCCAAUAACUCACAGCUGACCGAAUCCCAGAUCUUUCAAUUACAAGAUGAACAAUUUGCCACGUGGUUCAGAACACAUGUUUAUCAAAUGGGAAGGAGUGUUGCUAAGUCAUUGUCUUCACUAAGCCUGGGCCCUGAAAAAAAAGUUAAGUGCUAUAACGGGUAUUUUGUCAAUGGAUAUGUGUUCCAUACUGAAGAAUACGAGCAUGGAAGAAAGACAUACGACAGCGGUGUUUGUGUUAAGGGAUUGACUAGUAGUGAGUUAGAAGUUGACUACUAUGCUAGAUUAGAAGAGGUCGUCGAACUGCAAUAUCAUAGCGAGCAGAAUAUAGUAUUUUUAUUCAAAUGUUAUUGGUAUGACACGACUGACAGAGGAAUCAGAGUUGAUCCGCAUUAUGGUCUGGUCGAAAUCAACUCAAAAGCUAGACUCCACAACGUAAACGAUGUCUUUGUUUUCGCAAAGCAAUGUCAAUAAGUUUAUUACACAUACACCCUUUCCUUUAGAAAGGAUCGAUCAAGAGUGGAUUGGUUGUCCGUUUUAAAAACGAAACUUAGGGGUUGUGUCUAGCUUGUUCAAGAUGAGAACGAAGACACAAGUGUGCGAGAUGAAGUCAUUCAAGUUAAUGAGUUGGUUGAACCAUGUUGUUACCCAUUUUUGGGUUCCCCAUAAAACAUGAAAAAAAAUAAAAAUGAGAAAAUACAAAAAAAUAUAUCAAAAAAAUAUUCAAAAAAAUCCAAAAAUAAUAGGAGUGAGAAAAGGAUGUUGGAAUGCUGAAAAAGGAUAGAAAUUGAUUGAGGAGAUUCAAAAAUACAAGAAUUGAAAUUUUGACAGUAUAUUUUUUACUGAUGAGAGCCUUGGGGACAAGGAAAAUUCAAUUUCAGAAAGAAAAGUUCAAAAUCAGAUGUUUAUGGACUCAAUUAAAUUUUAUCCAAGGUUUAAUUGAAUUUAUGGAGGGUUUGAUUGCAAGAAAAUUGAUUUUUUAAGUCAAUUUAGGCUUUUAUUGGAAGAAAUUAAAGUUUUGGGGUCCAAUUGUAAUUUUGAAGAGUUGAUUUGGUCAAAUUAGGGGCUUAAUUACAUAAUGAUUGAAGUUUGAUGGUCAAUUAGGAACUUAAUUGAAACAAUCUUAAACCAAUGACCAAACCAAAAAAGCGCUAAGAUCAAGGGACCCAAUUAUAAUUUAUCCGGGGGUUUGAUUACAAGAUUGUAAAAACAUCCAAGGCCCAAAUCAGAGAUAUCAUUUAAAGAUGGCAAACGGUGCCGUUUCACUGAAGCUUUCUUCACCAGCAACGGUUUCAUGCAGCUGGCCCUUCUUCAUUAGUAACGGUUCCAUGCAGCUAGCUGUGAGACAUUACAGCAGCAACAUCGCCAAUUUGUUUUAAUUAUGGGGCAUAUGUCACGGCUGUCAUCCUCUGCAAACGUUAUCAAGCUGGCCGUUACCAGCACAAGGUCUCUGGCCUAUAAAAGCAGGAGAAACAGAGGAGCAAAAGGAGGAGGAGAACGACAGAGGAGAGUAAGAAAACCAGAGGGGAGGGAACGAGACAGAGGAGAAAGAAAACAGAGAAGGUGAAACGUAAAGAGGAGAAAAGCACCGAGACAGAGAGCAGAACAGAGAGGAGAGUAGAAUAGAGGGGGGAGAAAACAGAAAAGACGAGAUAGAGAGGGAAAGAAAAAGAACAGGAGGAAACAAGGGGAGGGGAAAAGAUUAAAAAAAUACAGAAAGGAACAGAGAAAGAAGAAGACGGGAAAGAUAUGAAAACAGGGAGGAGCUUGUUUUAAAACAGGGGUAGAACCGCUGCCAUUCUCAAUCACAACCGCACCAGCACUGCCAACGCCAUCGUCAGCUCAUCAUCUUCUUCAUCCCAGCAGCCACUGCCAUUCUCCAUCAGAACCGUACCAGCACUGCCAAAGCCAUCGUCAGCUCAUCAUCUUCUUCAUCCCAACAGCCACGCCAAGAACCACUGAAAGGGGAAUACAGGAGAGAAAAAACAUAAAGAAAAGGGAAGGGAAAGACGGAGAAUACAGGGGCUUCAUCAUAAAAAAAAACAGAGAAAAACCAGAAGAAAAAAGACCCAGCGUUGAUCGUCUUCAUCGUCCCCAGAACCAGUCACCGCCGAUCCUGCGCAGCAGUUUCAUCGCCAUCGUCUUCAUCUGUUUUAGAUACCAGAGGAGUUGAAUGUUGUUUUGAGCUCUAGCAGACAAGCAAAUGUCGAUGAAGAUGAUGAUAUCCAUAUUGAAGAUUGUAAUGAAGGUGAUGACUAUUCAAUUGAUGAUGAAGCAGAAGAAAAUUCUGACUAAUUGUUAGCCUUGUGUGAAACAUUUUUUUUCAUGUAAUAUAUAUUAUGGAUGAUAUAUUUUGUAACAUGAAAUAUUUAUUUUAUAAGUUUAUGUAUUGUUUAAGCACU